This 388-nucleotide ribosomal RNA is filed under the name Novocrania anomala. RNAcentral describes it as "partial 16S ribosomal RNA". It matches the Rfam family "Bacterial large subunit ribosomal RNA", at positions 2006 to 2597 of the family's 2925-position model. RNAcentral also lists the same sequence under 1 other name. Lineage: Eukaryota; Metazoa; Brachiopoda; Craniata; Craniida; Craniidae. The record is from RNAcentral.
GUGGGAGUAGCUGUCUUCCAGGCACAUAUAGAACUUAUCUUGUAGGUGAACAGACCUUUUUUUGUCUUCGGGACGGGUAGACCCCGAUGAACUUGAUAGCGGUGUGUGGUUUUUCGUCGAGCUAAUUAACUCGACGCUUUUCCACUCCUUCUUCGGUUGGGAAAACCGGUGGGAUGAGUGAUAUCCACCUUUUUGUUUAUUUGGGGAUACUGAUAAAGACCUCUAGUGUGGGAAAUCUAGAAAGAGAAAAGUUACCGCGGGGAUAACAGCAUUGUCUCCUCGGAGAGAAUACAUUGCAGAGGGGGUUUGUGACCUCGAUUUUGGGUCAUUAGAUUCUGGGUGGUAUAAGAAGCCGCCCUGAGAGGGACUGUUCGUCCUUUAAUUUAUU